RNAcentral lists this ribosomal RNA (509 nucleotides) under Afronurus sp. 167SAAf. RNAcentral's name for it is "partial 16S ribosomal RNA". It matches the Rfam family "Bacterial large subunit ribosomal RNA", at positions 1829 to 2601 of the family's 2925-position model. The record is from RNAcentral. Lineage: Eukaryota; Metazoa; Arthropoda; Insecta; Ephemeroptera; Heptageniidae.
CGCCUUUUGGGAAAAUAGAAGGUCUGGCCUGCCCACUGAGAAUUUAAAGGGCCGCAGUAUUUUGACUGUGCAAAGGUAGCAUAAUCAUUAGUCUUCUAAUUAAAGGCUGGUAUGAAUGGCUGGACGAGGUGUUAGCUGUCUCAUUAAAAUUAAGGUUGAAUUUAGCUUCUUAGUCAAAAGGCUGAGAUGAUAUUGGAGGACGAGAAGACCCUAUAGAUCUUUACAUUUAAACUUUUUAACUAUUUUGGUAAGUUUACAGUUUUAAGGGGCAAUUGUUUUGUUGGGGUGACAGGGGGAUAAAUAAACUCCCUUUAAGCAGAACCACUGAUGAGUGAUUGAUUGAUCCAUUUGGUGUGAUUAUAAGACUAAGGUACCUUAGGGAUAACAGCGUAAUCUUUUUUAAGAGUUCUAAUCGACAGAAAGGGUUGCGACCUCGAUGUUGGACUAAAGGUUAUUCCUGGGUGUAGCAGCUCAGGGUUUAGGUCUGUUCGACCUUUGAAUCUUUACAU